GAAGGGUGGUAUUGAAAUUGAUUGGGGAACCAUGGACCCUGGGGAGGAACUGGAGGCCUCAAGGAAGGUUGGUGGUGGUAGGGAUCGGCGGCGGCGGAGGAGGAGGGUGGCAGUGGAGGAGGUGGAGGAGCCCUGGGAAAAUGGUGAGUCUGGUGAUAAGAAUCCAUCGGUGUGGAAAAUUGGCGGGUUGUUCUUGGAAAAGGAGGAGGGUUGAGGGUUCAAGCUUGGAGUUGCAACAUCGUUACUACG
RNAcentral lists this unclassified non-coding RNA (249 nucleotides) under Hevea brasiliensis (rubber tree). Lineage: Eukaryota; Viridiplantae; Streptophyta; Magnoliopsida; Malpighiales; Euphorbiaceae. The record is from RNAcentral.